GACGAACGCUGGCGGCGUGCCUAAUACAUGCAAGUAGAACGCUGAAGGAGGAGCUUGCUCUUCUGGAUGAGUUGCGAACGGGUGAGUAACGCGUAGGUAACCUGCCUGGUAGCGGGGGAUAACUAUUGGAAACGAUAGCUAAUACCGCAUAACAGUAGAUGUUGCAUGACAUUUACUUAAAAGGUGCAAUUGCAUCACUACCAGAUGGACCUGCGUUGUAUUAGCUAGUUGGUGGGGUAACGGCUCACCAAGGCGACGAUACAUAGCCGACCUGAGAGGGUGAUCGGCCACACUGGGACUGAGACACGGCCCAGACUCCUACGGGAGGCAGCAGUAGGGAAUCUUCGGCAAUGGACGGAAGUCUGACCGAGCAACGCCGCGGGAGUGAAGAAGGUUUUCGGAUCGUAAAGCUCUGUUGUAAGAGAAGAACGAGUGUGAGAGUGGAAAGUUCACACUGUGACGGUAUCUUACCAGAAAGGGACGGCUAACUACGUG
Molecule: ribosomal RNA, 495 nt
Filed under: uncultured bacterium
Lineage: Bacteria
Description: partial 16S ribosomal RNA
Rfam family: Bacterial small subunit ribosomal RNA
Source: RNAcentral